RNAcentral lists this ribosomal RNA (400 nucleotides) under uncultured bacterium. RNAcentral describes it as "bacterial SSU rRNA". It matches the Rfam family "Bacterial small subunit ribosomal RNA", at positions 355 to 748 of the family's 1533-position model. The record is from RNAcentral.
UGGGGAAUAUUGGACAAUGGGGGAAACCCUGAUCCAGCAAUGCCGCGUGUGUGAAGAAGGCCUUCGGGUUGUAAAGCACUUUCAGUUGGGAGAAAAAUCCUGCCGCUAAUAACGGUAGGUUUGAUGUUACCGACAGAAGAAGCACCGGCUAACUCUGUGCCAGCAGCCGCGGUAAUACAGAGGGUGCAAGCGUUAAUCGGAAUUACUGGGCGUAAAGCGCGCGUAGGUGGAUAAGUAAGUUGGAUGUGAAAGCCCCGGGCUUAACCUGGGAAUGGCAUUCAAAACUGCUUUUCUAGAGUAUGGUAGAGGAGAGUGGAAUUUCCGGUGUAGCGGUGAAAUGCGUAGAUAUCGGAAGGAACACCAGUGGCGAAGGCGACUCUCUGGACCAAUACUGACACUG